RNAcentral lists this transfer RNA (77 nucleotides) under Spirosoma linguale DSM 74. RNAcentral's name for it is "tRNA-Ala". It matches the Rfam family "tRNA". Rfam says of the family: Transfer RNA (tRNA) molecules are approximately 80 nucleotides in length. Their secondary structure includes four short double-helical elements and three loops (D, anti-codon, and T loops). The record is from RNAcentral. RNAcentral also lists the same sequence under 3 other names. Lineage: Bacteria; Pseudomonadati; Bacteroidota; Cytophagia; Cytophagales; Cytophagaceae.
GGGGGAUUAGCUCAGCUGGCUAGAGCGCUUCCAUGGCAUGGAAGAGGUCAUCGGUUCGACUCCGAUAUUCUCCACAA